GCCACACCCUCCCCUACAGAAGUGCUCACAGCACAGCCCUCAGCAUGGACUGGAGCUGGAGAACCCUCCUCCUGGUGGCCAUGGUGACAGGUGUCCACUCCCAGGUGCAGCUGGUGCAGUCUGGGGCUGAGGUGAGGAAGCCUGGGGCCUCCGUGAAGGUCUCCUGCAAGGCUUCUGGAUACACCUUCACCAGCUACUGGAUGCACUGGGUGCGUCAGGCCCCAGGACAGGGGCUUCAGUGGGUGGGGAGGGUUAACCCUUAUAAUGGAAACACAAACUACGCACAGAAGUUCCAAGGCAGAGUCUCCAUGACCAGAAAUAAGUGCACUGUUGGGGUCAAACCCCAGCAGGUCCAGAGGUGUCCUGUCCCAGGUGCAGCUGCAGGAGUCGGGCCCAGGAGUGGUGAAGCCCUCACAGACCCUCUCCCUCACCUGCACUGUGUCCGGGGCUCAGUCACCAGCAGUUACUGGUGGAACUGGAUCCGCCAGCCCCCGGGGAAAGUGUUGCAGUGGAUGUGGUACUGGACAGGGAGCACAAGCUACAACCCAGCCUUCUAG
Molecule: non-coding RNA, 557 nt
Organism: Myotis daubentonii (Daubenton's bat)
Lineage: Eukaryota; Metazoa; Chordata; Mammalia; Chiroptera; Vespertilionidae
Source: the annotation of a RefSeq genome assembly